UAAACACGGAAUAAAACUCUUGGUAAUAAAAUAUAGAUAAAAUUGUGAGUUCCAAAAUAGACAAAUCAAAAUAAAUAAUAUUCUAUGAAUCGUGGUCGUGAGCGGCGCGGGGGAAACAGGCGCCGAAGUGACUCCGGUGGGGGAUGGCUGCCGUUUGUAGUGGGCUUCGCUAUCGGGGCCUUCCUUGGCAUAAUAAACUGUCACCUAGACCCUGACUGGAUCGGAUCCGAUGAAGUGGACUCUGAUGGCAAAAGGAAGAGAAAAGCAGGAUUGUUGUCUGGAGCUUUAGCAGGAGUAUUUGGAGCUGGUGCAUCAGAAGACUCUUCAGGAGGUGAUGGCCAGAGAGCUAAGAGCAAAGACGGAUACGGGACAGACGAAGACGGAAAUUCAAAAAGUAUAGCGAUGUCGCAAGCCGUCCGGGAUAAAUUGGAUCAAGAUGGCAAAUCAUCCGAAGCCUCACGCGGAGAAAAUAAAGGUGGCAAAGGGUCAUAUGGAGUUAGCAAAACAUCUGGUGGAGCUAAUAUACCCUGUGAUGAUGUCAAUGCAGCCGGUGCUGUAAAUAAAUCGCCUGAAGAUACUACGUCAUCAGGAGGCAUAAAUAAAUCAUCGUCAGCAAGUGGCAACCGCGACGACGGCAUUUCUUCCAAUAAGGCAACUUCAGGACCAGCGGAAGAGUGUAUGGUAAUAGAUGCAACUAAAGUUAAAGACUUUUCUAUCGAAGAUAAGGCUGGUAAAACAUCUAUCCAAGAGGCGAGUGGCAACUCACAGAAAACUGCUCAAGGAUCUUCUAAAAGUGAAUCGCUAGCUCCUAUUGAUGGAAAAAAACCUUGCAAACCAAAAGCGGAGUCAAAAGUGGCAACCGAUGGAGCCAAUUCAAACACAACGGCUACUGGUGGUGGUGGAACAUCCUCGAAAGAACAGAAACCUUGUCCAGAAAAGGUAACAAAUACGAAAGAAGAAGGUAAAGACGAUUCAUUUUCAUCAGCUCAAAAACCAGGAACGACUAAAGAACUACCUGAUGGCCAUCCUUGCAAGACAAAGCUUGAACAAAAAAAGGAAAUGGAAAAUGUAAAGGAACCUUGUCCGGAGAAGAAAAAUUAGAAGUUCUAAUAUAGAAAAUACUGCACAGUAUUUAUUAACGGUGUUGCAAUAAACUAAAACGUAAAAGCUCCUUUGUGCUUAUUGUUGUACCGUUUGUUCCUGUAGUUGCGUUUGGGUAAAAUUUUGAAGACACUCGCUUGUGAGUUCAGGGAAAGCAGCAGCGUCAGCAAACCACAUUGUCUUUCGUACUAUCAUAGAAUAAGGAUUAUUUGUCUAUGGCAUCAAAAUAUCCCCUAAAUUAGCAGAAUCCUUGCUCUGAAAAGAUAAAUCUUCUUGUCUCUUCUCAAGUCUGAAUUGGUCUGAAAUUUUCUUCCAUAGAGUAAAAAUAAAUAAUCUUCUGUCAAAACAGCCCCAAAUCGAGUCCAAAUCGCAGUCUUUUUAAUAUCUAUAUUUUAUACCAUGUAUACAUUUACCUAAUCCAAAACCAAGAAUCAGAUAUAUGGUGCACAGCUGGGGCCACCAUGCGUCCUCACCCCGAGAUCAGAGUGCACGACUGUUUAAACGUACGCGGGCAGCAGAAUGCUUCUAGAGGGGGCUACGUGUGUGUCCCUGGCGAGCCUCGGCCGGGGGACAAGGGGGGUGGGGGCGGCGGCGGGGGCGGGGACCCGGGGGCAAGGCAGGGGGUGUUCUGGGUUGUGACGCCAGACGGCCGCGGUAGACCCGGACCUGGCCUGUGGUUUCUGGCGGGAAUCCUGGCGGGGUUUGCGUUCAGUACCGUAAUGUGCAAGCUCAACUGUGACUGGGCGCGGCUCGGGCAGAACCUGCGCGACUCACUCGGCUACUUGGGCCGGUGUGUUUGUCCAAAAAAACCUGAGCCCUCGUGAUAUUGUGGCGUUUUAAUAAAGUUUUUGUUGUGUA
This is a non-coding RNA of Plutella xylostella (diamondback moth), 1959 nucleotides long. The record is from RefSeq and is a predicted model, not a curated record. Lineage: Eukaryota; Metazoa; Arthropoda; Insecta; Lepidoptera; Plutellidae.